This 85-nucleotide microRNA precursor is filed under the name Chlorocebus sabaeus (green monkey). RNAcentral describes it as "mir-571 microRNA precursor family". It matches the Rfam family "mir-571 microRNA precursor family". The record is from Rfam by way of RNAcentral. Lineage: Eukaryota; Metazoa; Chordata; Mammalia; Primates; Cercopithecidae.
AGCAGGACCAAGUUGAGUGGGCCAUUUCCCGGUCUGUACUCGAGGCCACAGGUUUUUGAGCUUGCCACCUAAAUGAGGGCCUGCC